Molecule: ribosomal RNA, 301 nt
Filed under: uncultured bacterium
Lineage: Bacteria
Description: partial 16S ribosomal RNA
Rfam family: Bacterial small subunit ribosomal RNA
Source: RNAcentral
CAGUAGCCGCGGGAAUACGGAGGGUGCAAGCGUUAUCCGGAUUUAUUGGGUUUAAAGGGUCCGUAGGCGGAUCUGUAAGUCAGUGGUGAAAUCUCACAGCUUAACUGUGAAACUGCCAUUGAUACUGCAGGUCUUGAGUAAAUUUGAAGUGGCUGGAAUAAGUAGUGUAGCGGUGAAAUGCAUAGAUAUUACUUAGAACACCAAUUGCGAAGGCAGGUCACUAAGAUUUAACUGACGCUGAUGGACGAAAUCGUGGGGAGCGAACAGGAUUAGAUACCCCAGUAGUCCCUGUCUCUUAUAC